This 305-nucleotide ribosomal RNA is filed under the name uncultured bacterium. Its description in RNAcentral is "partial 16S ribosomal RNA". It matches the Rfam family "Bacterial small subunit ribosomal RNA", at positions 508 to 807 of the family's 1533-position model. The record is from RNAcentral.
ACAGCAGUCGCCGCGGGAAUACGAAGGGUGCAAGCGUUAAUCGGAAUUACUGGGCGUAAAGCGUGCGUAGGCGGUGAGUUAAGUCUGCUGUGAAAUCCCCGGGCUCAACCUGGGAAUGGCAGUGGAUACUGGCUCGCUAGAGUGUGUCAGAGGAUGGUGGAAUUCCCGGUGUAGCGGUGAAAUGCGUAGAGAUCGGGAGGAACAUCAGUGGCGAAGGCGGCCAUCUGGGACAACACUGACGCUGAGGCACGAAAGCGUGGGGAGCAAACAGGAUUAGAUACCCCCGUAGUCCCUGUCUCUUAUAC